GCCAUCUGCCAUGGCGGGUGGGUGAAAGAACCAAGCUAACAUGGGGGUAGCUCAUUAAAAAACAAUAAAGCCUCAUGCAGUUUGCAAUAAGCUCUGGAAUCUGCCUGGUGAUUGGGAUGACUGAGGUUGUGGCCUGGGACCCCGGAUACCUGAGUUUUUCCGGGGAUCUAACAUUUGGGGGCUUGUCCUCGAUUUGUGACCACCCCUCACCUGAGUGGAUUCGAUCUUGGAGGUAAGAUGAUUCGAGCUUGCAACUUAUAUGUUCAAUGUCCCUUGCUGUUUUGUUGGUUUGGUGCCAUGACUUGAAUUUGCUGUUUUGUUGGUUUGGUGCCAUGACUUGAAUUUGCUGUUUUGUUGGUUUGGUGCCAUGACUUGAAUUUGCUGUUUUGUUGGUUUGGUGCCAUGACUUGAAUUUGAUCUGAGCCUGCACAGGACUCGUAUUUGUAAUUUGUACUGGUAUUUGGAAUUUGGAAUUUGGACCUCAGGGGGAAACGGAUGUGUUUCGAGACCCAGAGAUCCCGCCCUGGACGAAAGUCCGAGGGUUGUUUGUAAUUUUGAUUGGGGCACCAUUCCUCUGCCUCGCUGUUUGUCUUGUCUGAUGUCUGUCCUGUUUUUGCUGUUUGUGUCUGUCUCUGUACUAACCACCCCAUCCUUGGAUUCCACCUCAACUGUGAUCGGCAGAUGUGCCAGGAGGAUUACAGACUGCUGCUCUGAGGACACCCAGCAGGAUCCACCACGACACCCCCUUUCGUUGAGUCACGUGGCACCACACUAGGUCUGUGAGGCAUGAGAAGUGGGUCUGUAUCUGCCCCAGCUGCCAUCCUGCCGUGGGUCCUGGCUUGCAGCAGGAGUUUCCCUGCUCUGAGGGAACAUGACUGCAAGGCCACCAUCUGCCUGGCUGCCUGGCCUUCUCUGUGCUCCACACACACGGU
This 932-nucleotide long non-coding RNA is filed under the name Cricetulus griseus (Chinese hamster). RNAcentral describes it as "lncRNA (ENSCGRG00000024168.1)". The record is from RNAcentral. Lineage: Eukaryota; Metazoa; Chordata; Mammalia; Rodentia; Cricetidae.